This 106-nucleotide microRNA precursor is filed under the name Mus spretus (western wild mouse). RNAcentral describes it as "microRNA 1954 (ENSMSPG00010046315.1)". Lineage: Eukaryota; Metazoa; Chordata; Mammalia; Rodentia; Muridae. The record is from RNAcentral.
GAGGUCAGCCAGAACUGCAGAGUGAGACCCUGUUGUUUGUUUGUUUGUUUGUUUGUUUGUUUGUUUGUUUGAGACGGGGUUUCUCUGUGUAGCCCUGGCUAUCCUA